AUCCAUUGCUUAGUUGGUAAAGCACAAAGCUCUUAACCUUGUGGACUUGAGUUCAAGCCCCAUGGUGGAUA
Molecule: non-coding RNA, 71 nt
Organism: Triticum urartu
Lineage: Eukaryota; Viridiplantae; Streptophyta; Magnoliopsida; Poales; Poaceae
Source: Rfam